AUUAAUUAGCCUCUAAUUCACCCUGAGUAGUACCAGCUGUCUAUAAACUCAAAGAAUUUGGCGGCAACUCCACCUGUUAGAGGAACCUACCUCGUAAUUGAUGACCCACGUUUUAAUGACUUGAUCUAAAAGUUUGUAUACCGCCGUUUAGAAUAUAUUAUAAAAUGUAUUCACAAUUAAUUUAUUAAGUUUAUCAGGUCAAGGUGCAGCUUAUGAUUAAGGGUUGGCGGGUUACAAUGUAAAUAAAUAAGCGGAUUUGAAUUUUAAACCACUAUGAAGACGGAUUUAAUAGUAAUGCAAGAUUUAAUUUCAUGGAAAGGUUCUGAU
Molecule: ribosomal RNA, 327 nt
Filed under: Cloeodes pseudogladius
Lineage: Eukaryota; Metazoa; Arthropoda; Insecta; Ephemeroptera; Baetidae
Description: partial 12S ribosomal RNA
Source: RNAcentral